GUAAAGUUUUGUUUAAACCGAAAAAAUAUUGACUGACUUUAGAUUUUUCUUUGGAAUAUGUGAUUUUGUUGGAGAGCCCUCUUUUUUGGUAAAUUUUGUUGGCACAUGUAUGAUUGUUUAGUUUUUAUUUUAUUUUGUAAUGCUUUUUUUGUUUUGGCAUUUAAAACAGAUAUAUAUUUGGUUUAUAAAUUUAUUUUUCAUGUGUUACUAUUAUAAAUUUUUUUUGGAUUAAUUUUUUAUUUUUUUUUGAAAUUGGAAAAGAAAGUAAUUUUUUCUUUAUGUUUUAAUGAAUUUAAUAAAUAAGGUGGUACAAACCAU
RNAcentral lists this ribosomal RNA (318 nucleotides) under Onchocerca lupi. Its description in RNAcentral is "partial 12S ribosomal RNA". The record is from RNAcentral. Lineage: Eukaryota; Metazoa; Nematoda; Chromadorea; Rhabditida; Onchocercidae.